Molecule: ribosomal RNA, 492 nt
Filed under: uncultured bacterium
Lineage: Bacteria
Description: partial 16S ribosomal RNA
Rfam family: Bacterial small subunit ribosomal RNA
Source: RNAcentral
AGUGAACGCUGGCGGUAGGCCUAACACAUGCAAGUCGAACGGCAGCACAGUAAGAGCUUGCUCUUACGGGUGGCGAGUGGCGGACGGGUGAGGAAUACAUCGGAAUCUACUUUUUCGUGGGGGAUAACGUAGGGAAACUUACGCUAAUACCGCAUACGACCUACAGGUGAAAGUAGGGGAUCUUCGGACCUUGCGCGAUUGAAUGAGCCGAUGUCGGAUUAGCUAGUUGGCGGGGUAAAGGCCCACCAAGGCGACGAUCCGUAGCUGGUCUGAGAGGAUGAUCAGCCACACUGGAACUGAGACACGGUCCAGACUCCUACGGGAGGCAGCAGUGGGGAAUAUUGGACAAUGGGCGCAAGCCUGAUCCAGCCAUACCGCGUGGGUGAAGAAGGCCUUCGGGUUGUAAAGCCCUUUUGUUGGGAAAGAAAAGCAGCAGGUUAAUACCCCGCUGUUCUGACGGUACCCAAAGAAUAAGCACCGGCUAACUUCGUG